GGAUAAAUCAAACUGAAAUGCAAAUCAUAGCUAAGGUCAGCUCAGCCUUCUCACAGUGACGCUCCAGUCAGCUCUCAUCACACACAAGCACCUUCCAUCACACGCUCAUCAACAACAAGCGAACACAAAGUUUGGGAGCUCAUGAACAGCACCACAAAUCUGCUUAAAGAGAUGAAUCGAGAGAUUUGGAUGUGUAAAAGAGACACCAGCAUUUAAGGAAUGUAUCAACUUUGCGGAUCAUAAGAUCUGUGAGAAGAGC
Molecule: long non-coding RNA, 259 nt
Filed under: Sinocyclocheilus anshuiensis
Lineage: Eukaryota; Metazoa; Chordata; Actinopteri; Cypriniformes; Cyprinidae
Description: lncRNA (ENSSANG00000009157.1)
Source: RNAcentral